GAUGAACGCUGGCGGCGUGCCUAAUACAUGCAAGUCGAGCGAACAGACGAGGAGCUUGCUCCUCUGACGUUAGCGGCGGACGGGUGAGUAACACGUGGAUAACCUACCUAUAAGACUGAGAUAACUUCGGGAAACCGGAGCUAAUACCGGAUAAUAUAUUGAACCGCAUGGUUCAAUAGUGAAAGACGGUUUUGCUGUCACUUAUAGAUGGAUCCGCGCCGCAUUAGCUAGUUGGUAAGGUAACGGCUUACCAAGGCAACGAUGCGUAGCCGACCUGAGAGGGUGAUCGGCCACACUGGAACUGAGACACGGUCCAGACUCCUACGGGAGGCAGCAGUAGGGAAUCUUCCGCAAUGGGCGAAAGCUUGACGGAGCAACGCCGCGUGAGUGAUGAAGGUCUUCGGAUCGUAAAACUCUGUUAUUAGGGAAGAACAAAUGUGUAAGUAACUAUGCACGUCUUGACGGUACCUAAUCAGAAAGCCACGGCUAACUACGUG
Molecule: ribosomal RNA, 497 nt
Filed under: uncultured bacterium
Lineage: Bacteria
Description: partial 16S ribosomal RNA
Rfam family: Bacterial small subunit ribosomal RNA
Source: RNAcentral